AGUCGAGCGAUGAAGUUCCUUCGGGAACGGAUUAGCGGCGGACGGGUGAGUAACACGUGGGUAACCUGCCUUAUAGAGGGGGAUAGCCUUCCGAAAGGAAGAUUAAUACCGCAUAAAGUUGUUGAUUCGCAUGGAUCGAUAACCAAAGGAGCAAUCCGCUAUAAGAUGGACCCGCGGCGCAUUAGCUAGUUGGUGAGGUAAUGGCUCACCAAGGCGACGAUGCGUAGCCGACCUGAGAGGGUGAUCGGCCACAUUGGGACUGAGACACGGCCCAGACUCCUACGGGAGGCAGCAGUGGGGAAUAUUGCACAAUGGGGGAAACCCUGAUGCAGCAACGCCGCGUGAGUGAUGAAGGCCUUCGGGUUGUAAGGCUCUGUCUUUGGGGACGAUAAUGACGGUACCCAAGGAGGAAGCCACGGCUAACUACGUGCCAGCAGCCACGGUAAUACGUAGGUGGCAAGCGUUGUCCGGAUUUACUGGGCGUAAAGGGAGCGUAGGCGGAUUUUUAAGUGGGAUGUGAAAUACCCGGGCUCAACUUGGGUGCUGCAUUCCAAACUGGAAGUCUAGAGUGCAGGAGAGGAAAGUGGAAUUCCUAGUGUAGCGGUGAAAUGCGUAGAGAUUAGGAAGAACACCAGUAGCGAAGCGACUUUCUGGACUGUAACUGACGCUGAGGCUCGAAAGCGUGGGGAGCAAACAGGAUUAGAUACCCUGUAGUCCACGCCGUAAACGAUGGAUACUAGUGUGGGAGUAUCAACUCCUUCCGUGCCGCCGUAAACACAUUAAGUAUCCCGCCUGGGGAGUACGGUCGCAAGAUUAAAACUCAAAGGAAUUGACGGGGACCGCACAAGCAGCGGA
Molecule: ribosomal RNA, 855 nt
Filed under: uncultured bacterium
Lineage: Bacteria
Description: bacterial SSU rRNA
Rfam family: Bacterial small subunit ribosomal RNA
Source: RNAcentral